CAGUCUCUCUCGGUUGCCUAGGCUAGAGUGCAUUGGUGCAAUCUCCGUUCGCUGCAACCUCCACCUCCAGGUUUCGAGUGAUUCUCCUUGAAAUGAAGGGAAGAUGCGAAGACGCAGACAGGAGCUUGUGACGGUCACCCAGUAAAACAUCCCCAGCUACAGCUGGAACUGAAGCCUCAGGAAUCCAGCCGUGGCUCAACCCAAGACCAGAGCGGGCAGCCGAGCAGUGGGCAGUGCUCCCUCUCUGUGGUCCGGCAGGCAGGAGGACCCCUGGCCCUGCACCACGCUGGUAAGGAAGGGACGAAUGGAGAGAAACAGCAUACGCUGGGCCUGGCGUGGGGGCUCACGCCUAUACCUCCAGCACUUUGAGAGGCAGAGGC
This is a long non-coding RNA of Cebus imitator (Panamanian white-faced capuchin), 380 nucleotides long. RefSeq lists it as uncharacterized. Lineage: Eukaryota; Metazoa; Chordata; Mammalia; Primates; Cebidae. The transcript is spliced from 3 exons. The record is from RefSeq and is a predicted model, not a curated record.